RNAcentral lists this ribosomal RNA (1403 nucleotides) under uncultured bacterium. Its description in RNAcentral is "16S ribosomal RNA". It matches the Rfam family "Bacterial small subunit ribosomal RNA". The record is from RNAcentral.
AGAGUUUGAUCCUGGCUCAGGAUGAACGCUAGCGACAGGCUUAACACAUGCAAGUCGAGGGGCAGCGGUGGUGAAGGCUUGCCUUUACCAGCCGGCGACCGGCGCACGGGUGAGUAACACGUAUGCAACCUGCCUGCCACAGCCGGAUAAUCGGGAGAAAUUCCGUCUAAUACGGCAUAAUGCAUCGACGGGACAUCCUGUUGGUGCCAAAGGUUGAUUCCGGUGGCGGAUGGGCAUGCGUCGCAUUAGUUAGUUGGCGGUGUAACGGACCACCAAGACGACGAUGCGUAGGGGUUCUGAGAGGAAGGUCCCCCACACUGGUACUGAGACACGGACCAGACUCCUACGGGAGGCAGCAGUGAGGAAUAUUGGUCAAUGGGCGGGAGCCUGAACCAGCCAAGUCGCGUGAGGGAUGACGGCCCUAUGGGUUGUAAACCUCUUUUGCCGGGGAGCAAAGUGCCGCACGUGUGCGGUUUGGAGAGUACCCGGAGAAAAAGCAUCGGCUAACUCCGUGCCAGCAGCCGCGGUAAUACGGAGGAUGCGAGCGUUAUCCGGAUUUAUUGGGUUUAAAGGGUGCGUAGGCGGACGCUUAAGUCAGCGGUAAAAUUGCGGGGCUCAACCUCGUCGAGCCGUUGAAACUGGGUGCCUUGAGUGGGCGAGAAGUACGCGGAAUGCGCGGUGUAGCGGUGAAAUGCAUAGAUAUCGCGCAGAACUCCGAUUGCGAAGGCAGCGUACCGGCGCCAGACUGACGCUGAGGCACGAAAGCGUGGGGAUCGAACAGGAUUAGAUACCCUGGUAGUCCACGCAGUAAACGAUGAAUGCUGGUUGUCCGGGUCGAAUGAGACCUGGGCGGCGAAGCGAAAGCGAUAAGCAUUCCACCUGGGGAGUACGCCGGCAACGGUGAAACUCAAAGGAAUUGACGGGGGCCCGCACAAGCGGAGGAACAUGUGGUUUAAUUCGAUGAUACGCGAGGAACCUUACCCGGGCUCAAACGGGAGUGGAAUGGACCAGAGACGGUUCAGCCUACGGGCCGCUUCCGAGGUGCUGCAUGGUUGUCGUCAGCUCGUGCCGUGAGGUGUCGGCUUAAGUGCCAUAACGAGCGCAACCCCCGCCGGCAGUUGCUAACGGGCAAUGCCGAGGACUCUGCCGGGACUGCCGCCGCAAGGCGUGAGGAAGGCGGGGAUGACGUCAAAUCAGCACGGCCCUUACGUCCGGGGCGACACACGUGUUACAAUGGGCGGUACAGCGGGAAGCCAGGCGGCGACGCCGAGCGGAACCCGAAAGCCGUUCUCAGUUCGGAUCGGAGUCUGCGACUCGACUCCGUGAAGCUGGAUUCGCUAGUAAUCGCGCAUCAGCCAUGGCGCGGUGAAUACGUUCCCGGGCCUUGCACACACCGCCCGUCA